Molecule: long non-coding RNA, 1426 nt
Organism: Colossoma macropomum (tambaqui)
Lineage: Eukaryota; Metazoa; Chordata; Actinopteri; Characiformes; Serrasalmidae
Exons: 3
Source: RefSeq, a predicted model, not a curated record
GCUGUUCUGUGUUUCGACCUCGCUUUGUUUUCUCCGGUUUCCGAUUCUCGCUCCUGUUUUUGGCUUUGUUGCUUUGUGUAUGAUUCUUCUACGGUUACGACCCUCGCCUGUUUUUUCGACUCCGUUUUCGCCUACUCCUAUGUGUUGUAUCUGGCUCUUCUGGUUUUUGACCUGGUCUGGUGUUAACCCUGUUUAUAUCCUUUUAAAUAAAUCUUCCGGGUUCGUUUUUUAUCCGCACGUGUCUGAUUUGUAAACCCAGCGUUACACUCUUUAAGAAUUUGUUACAAUAGGCUACAGUAAAUUAGUAAAUUUGUUGGAUGUAAGUUUCCAGCUCUGUCCUGUUUAACUAUGUUGGGGCAUCCAAAUUGUCACGCCUCGGGCGGAUUCGGACUACGUUUCCCAGAAGGACAUGGGAAAUCACGUGGAUGAGCAACUUCUCUCAGUCUCGGAGUCCAGAGCGGACUCCAUUUCCCAUAAUCCCUUGGGUGAUCACAUGACUCAUGACAAUUGUUCACGCACCUGUCAGUGUUCUCAAUCACCCGAGUAUUAACUAUGAACACCUGUGUUUUGAAAUCAUAUGACUCUUUGAGACUAGUAUAUCAGCCCGAGCUUUAGUUAGGGUCCUUGCGAGGUAUUGCUUCUUCUGAACAUACUGAGCUUUUUUCUGAUCUGUCUAUGUGUGCUUGUUUUGACCCACGUUUGUUAUACUGGCCUUGAUUUUUGCCUACUCCUUUUGUACCUCUGUUGAUUGUAUUUUUGGAUUUGUGUUUUGACCUUUUUGCCUGCCUUUUGACGAUAAUUUUGACUUUCCCCUUGGUUUUUGUCUGCCCUGUGUUAUGAUCACUUUGGUGAUCUUCUGCUGCCUUUUGGUUAAGACCCACGCUUGUUUUUCGACCACGCUUUUGUCACCUGAUAAUAAAACCCUGUUUGCAUUUUUCAUCCGCGAGCAUCUGAAUUCUGUUGCAUCGUCACACAAAAAAAAACUAUGUGAAAUUCAGUCUAAACACAUUCAUUUUUUGGAUGGACAUGAAAAACAAAACACAUGAAUCUAUAGCUUUUAUCAGGAUCAACUGAUGCAUCUACCAAAAUAUGUUCCACUGUUGCUGAGUUCACCCUGUAAAUAUCCUUUAGAUGGGUCUUUCUGAACUACUAUAAUUCCUAUGUUCAGGUUCUCUUGAACUCACAGAUGCUCCUCCUUCUUCCACAGAACUUACUACUGAACCAAGAACUGUUCCUCCUGAACCCUCAACUGAACCUCCUACUCCCACAUCAGCUCCUCCUUCCUGCAGGUGGAACUGUGGCUCUCACCUCGGCAGCUGUUCAUGCUCCAGCUCCUGUCAGUACUAUGGAAACUGCUGCCACGACUACCACGAUUACUGUUAUACAAGCACACCUACUCCUGACACCCCAACAGGUACAUCUUCUG